Long non-coding RNA from Clarias gariepinus (North African catfish), 346 nucleotides. RefSeq lists it as uncharacterized. The record is from RefSeq and is a predicted model, not a curated record. NCBI's taxonomy places the organism in Eukaryota, Metazoa, Chordata, Actinopteri, Siluriformes, Clariidae. The transcript has 3 exons.
CGCCCCCUAGCUUUCAUUGUAUGUCGUCACACCCAGAACAGAACCAGGAAGUCAGAGGUGAUUGUGUUGCAGUUCAGCAGGCCUGAUUUAAGUCAGCGGGUACGGGCAUUCACCUGUUGUGGAAGUGAUUGUUCCUCCCAACAAACUGGCAGUCUUCCUGUAGAACUGAUUGAGCUUUCAGCUUCCUGGAACCUGGCUUAAAUGCCCUUCUGGUGAGACUUGGUGCCACAUUGCACGGAGCCGGGUGCUUAUGGCAGCGGUGGAAUUCUAGUUUUUCCUAUUUGAGUGGUUGGAAUACGAGCACGUGUGUGUGGUGAGUCACUUGUGAUUGCAAGUUGCUGUGCUG